AACGCACAUUGCGCCCGCCAGUAUUCUGGCGGGCAUGCCUGUUCGAGCGUCAUUUCAACCAUCAAGCCCCAGGCUUGUGUUGGGGCCCUGCGGCCGUCCGCAGCCCCCUAAAAACAGUGGCGGGCUCGCUAUAUACCGAGUGCAGUAGUUUACUCUUCGCUCAGGACAUGUAGUGGGUUCUUGCCGUAAAACCCCCCAUUUAUCAAGGUUGACCUCGGAUCAGGUAGGAAUACCCGCUGAACUUAA
This 246-nucleotide unclassified non-coding RNA is filed under the name uncultured Lasiosphaeriaceae. Its description in RNAcentral is "sequence contains ITS2". The stretch from base 1 to 52 matches the Rfam family "5.8S ribosomal RNA", at positions 103 to 154 of the family's 154-position model. Lineage: Eukaryota; Fungi; Ascomycota; Sordariomycetes; Sordariales; Lasiosphaeriaceae. The record is from RNAcentral.